UCAGGGGUUAGGGGUUGUCCCUUGGUGACCUAAAUGAAAAAACAGGUCCAGAACAGAGUUCCUGAUGCUGGACACUCAUUCAGUCUUUGAAUCGUGGGAGGGGAGGCCUGGUACUAGGUAGACCUAACCUCUUUGAGGAACCACAGAGCCCAAGGCUGGAAACCUCCAGAAUCCUCCACCCCCUGAUCCUCCCUGGGGACCCCUGUGGCCUGUCUCACUGAGCACUCUUCCAUCUGUAGAUGUCUGGGCUGCUGUACAAGGGAGUCCCCUUUCAGGUGUGGUGCUAGACAUGGUCACUCCUGCUGGAUGUCUAGGUGGUAGAAACCAAGGACCUAGGGAAAUACCAGGUACAGCCUUUCCAUGCUCAUCCAGAGCAGGACAAACAGGCCAGGCGGUGUCAGGAGCCCAGGUCUCCAGCUGGAGGGAACGUCAACCCUUCGGUGGGAGCAGGGGCCCUUUGCACAUCCUAGGCACAGAUGGUAAUGUAGACACCGCAGGUAAGCUGGGCUUGGUACCUACCCCUCCCCGGAUUCAGAAAGAAACCAAACAAGGAGCUUUGUGCGGAAUGAAACCUCCUUUCCUCCCAGAAGCACUGCUGACUGUUUGGUGGUUGCCAUUUGUGGCAGUGAGCCUUUGUUUGUUCUGAGGUUGGGCUGGUUUCUCCUCUUGGCCCUGCCCUACAGAUCAUAAAGGAGAAGAGCAAGAGGUCCCCAGCAAACAUCCACAGAUGGCCUUGGAAAUAAGUCACCUUCCUCACCCUGCAGGAAUGCCAGUGAACUUAUUGCUGACAUCUUGGAGCUCAGUACCCUCAUAGUGUAACGGCGUCAGCAGAUCUGCCUGUGCUGGGACUUCCUGUACUACCCAUUCCUGAGGGGCGAUGCUUCUGCAGGGCCUGUGACUUGGUGCACAACUUCAGACACCAUCAUCUUGCAGCAGCACCGCACCCUCACUAGCCAGGGUGUUGAUGACUUCCUCAAGGCCAAGGCCACAUUCAAGGCUUCGGACUUCAUUGAUGCGCUUGUGCUGAGCAAGCCUCAGUGUAUGGGCGCUGUUCAUCCUCUGGUGCUGAAGCAGCCAAGAGACCCAAGUCUGCCUGGCUGCCUCUUAGGAUAUGACAGCAGAGCCAGUGGCCUCUACUAGAUCCUGUACAACCUCACAAAACACCCAGACAUCGGGAGUGCUGCCAGCCUGUGAUGCAAGAGUCCUAAUCCUGAAGACAUUGAAUGACCUGUCAUUCUGCUGUUUUUACCAAAAAGGAUCAUGAGGAUCAGAGAGGAAAAGUCAUUUGCCCAAAGUCACACAGCUGAACAGUGGUGGAGUUCAACUUUGACCGUGGGCUGUCUGGCCCCAAGGUGUAUGCUUGCUUCUCUCCCAAGAGACAACUUUCUUAUCAGGCUCAAAUGAAUGAAAGGAGGAUGUUAAAGUUCCUAGAAGCUUUAAUUGAAUGAAAGUUCCUAGUAGAUCUGUACCUACUAAAAACCACACUUCUGAAGCUACGUGGCCACCAGAAGACACAGCUAGUCUGCCAUGUAAAAAAGGAAAGGUGGCGUGUGCCCUGAAGGUGCAGGGGUGAGAGGCAGGGAAAUGGAGACCCCAACAGCCAGCAGCAGUGGCCCUCAUCACAGCCCUCCAGGAGAUAUCAAAGGAGACAACGCCAUUAUUGACGAGAUCACUCCCAAGCGGAUUGGAGAUUGUCCCAAUACUUAGACCUAUAGCAAGGCCUUGGGAGAAAUGGUGGUGCAGCAGGAGAGCAGGAACCUAACCAUUGCCAUCCUAAGGCCCUGCAUUGUGCAGAGCAACGUGGCACCAGCUUUUCCUGGGUUGGGUUGAUAAUCUAAAUGGAUGUAGCUGACUCAUUAUUGCGGUAUGUAUAGGCUGGGAAAGGGUUUCUUCUGUCCAUAAAAGCUACUCCAAUGGCUGUGGGAGACUUAAUUCCAAUUCCAGGUGAUACAGCCGUCAGUCUCCCACUAGCUGUAGGAUGGUGUGCUGCAGUUCACAGACCUAAGUCAAUGUUAGUCUACCACUGUACGUCUGGUAACCUCAAUCCCUGCAACCGGAGCAAAAUGUGAUUCCAGGUCUUGGCAACCUCUGAAAUUCCAACUCCAUUUGCGAGAGCUUUGAGGAGGCCAUAUGCUGAUUUCACCACAAGCAACUUCACAACCCAGUACUGGAAUGCCAUCAGCCAGCAGGCCCCUGCCAUUAUCUGUGACUUCUAUCUGUGGCUCAUUGGAAGGAAACCCAGCUACCGAAGGAAGAUACCCUCAUCAACCCAAUUUUACAAAUGGAGAAAUAGAAGCUCAGGGAAGAAUCUGAAGUAGUCUCAAAGGAAGUGACAGGAAGGAUGUGGAGAAAGCUGAGUGUCAAAGUCAGUAUUCAAGACCGGAUUUACUGCUACUUAGAGAUGAAUGAAGAAAUCAGAGGGAACGCAGUGUGCUGAUGCUAAAGCGGCUGUCACCACCCAGCUGUGUGACAUAGGACAUCUUCUUUCUCUGUCUCACUUGACUAAUAUGUUGUGUCAGGGGAGACAUGAUUGUAAUUGCCUAAAGCAAUUCUUGUGAUCAAGAAUCAGAAGCAUGAACAGUAUUGCCCUCUGUGUUAGCCCCUUUAUAAGGGAGGAAGUCAUCUUCAGCAUGCUGAAUUGUCAUCUUUCUUAGCAGUGCAAAUGACUAAAACUUAGCCAAUGUAGAGUUUGUCCAAAUUUGGAGCUCAUAACUCAGUUCUUGAGCAAAGUGAAAAGAAAACAUUGUGAUUAUGGGGAAAAUAUUUGUACGGGACUUAUCAAAUAAAGAUAGGAAAAGAAGAAAACUCAAAUAUUAUAGGCAGAAAUGCUAAAGGUUUUAAAAUAUGUCAGGAUUGGAAGAAGGCAUGGAUAAAGAACAAAGUUCAGUUAGGAAAGAGAAACACAGAAGGAAGAGACACAAUAAAAGUCAUUAUGUAUUCUGUGAGAAGUCAGACAGUAAGAUUUGUGGGAAAUGGGUUGGUUUGUUGUAUGGUAUGUAUUUUAGCAAUAAUCUUUAUGGCAGAGAAAGCUAAAAUCCUUUAGCUUGCGUGAAUGAUCACUUGCUGAAUUCCUCAAGGUAGGCAUGAUGAAGGAGGGUUUAGAGGAGACACAGACACAAUGAACUGACCUAGAUAGAAAGCCUUAGUAUACUCAGCUAGGAAUAGUGAUUCUGAGGGCACACUGUGACAUGAUUAUGUCAUUACAUGUAUGGUAGUGAUGGGGAUGAUAGAAGGAAGAACUUAUGGCAUAUUUUCACCCCCACAAAAAUCAGUUAAAUAUUGGGACACUAACCAUCCAGGUCAAGAAAAGUCACAUGCCAUAGCCAUGGUAUUGCACAUCAUUCAUCUUGCAUUCUUUGAGAAUAAGAAGAUCAGUAAAUAGUUCAGAAGUGGGAAGCUUUGUCCAGGCCUGUGUGUGAACCCAAUGUUUUGUUUAGAAAUAGAACAAGUAAGUUCAUUGCUAUAGCAUAACACAAAAUUUGCAUAAGUGGUGGUCAGCAAAUCCUUGAAUGCUGCUUAAUGUGAGAGGUUGGUAAAAUCCUUUGUGCAACACUCUAACUCCCUGAAUGUUUUGCUGUGCUGGGACCUGUGCAUGCCAGACAAGGCCAAGCUGGCUGAAAGAGCAACCAGCCACCUCUGCAAUCUGCCACCUCCUGCUGGCAGGAUUUGUUUUUGCAUCCUGUGAAGAGCCAAGGAGGCACCAGGGCAUAAGUCUACUCACUUAUAUCUGUUUGUCUGGAACAUAACCCAUGUUUGUUUUUACAACAAAUAAAAUUGAUCUUGAAUAAAAA
This 3791-nucleotide long non-coding RNA is filed under the name Homo sapiens (human). RNAcentral describes it as "PREDICTED lncRNA (TCONS_00161395)". The record is from RNAcentral. Lineage: Eukaryota; Metazoa; Chordata; Mammalia; Primates; Hominidae.